This 830-nucleotide non-coding RNA is filed under the name Parrhinotermes sp. B MW-2019. The record is from RNAcentral. Lineage: Eukaryota; Metazoa; Arthropoda; Insecta; Blattodea; Rhinotermitidae.
AGAGAGUUUGAUUCUUGCUUAUGUUGUUUAUUUUAUUUUUGUUUUAUAUGUAAGUUUUUGCGUGGUUGGGCUUAGAAAGUUAUUUUUCUUGAUGGAUUUUUAGGCGGUUUAAUUUUAUUUUUAAUUCUCAUUAUUUUGUAUUAAUAUUCAAGGUUCCUUGUAUUUAGCAAUGCAUUUUAGUUCCGGUUAAAUUUUGUGCCAGCAUCCGCGGUUAUACUUUGGGGGCUUAUAAAUAUGUUUGGAUGUUGCAGUUUUAUUUUUUCUUUGUGAUUGUAUUUUUGUGUUUUUUUGGGUGAAAUUUUUAUAUUUAUUUGUUUUCUUUUUUGGUUUUUUGUUCUGUGAAACUCUUAUUUUAGACUAGGAUUAGAUACCCUAUUAUUUGUGAGUGUUAAUUUUUUUUCUUAGGUAGUAUUAGUUAUGUUCUUGAAACCUAAAGAAUUUGGCGGUAUUUUAUUCCGAUCAGAGGAAUCUGCUCCGUUAUCGAUAGUCCGCGUUGUACCUUACUUAAUUUUGUUGUUUGUAUACCGCCGUGUUUUGAUUAUCAUUUUAGUGUUUAUAAUUUUCUUGAUUCUUUAUUUGGUUGUAUUUCAGGUCAAGGUGCAGCUUUUAUUUAAGUGUGAGGUGGAUUACAUUGAUUUUUUGUUAUUUUGUUGGAUUGUUUAUUGUUAAUUUAUUUUCAUGAAAUUGGAUUUGAUUGUAAUAUUUUGGGAUGAAGAUUGUUCUUGUGAUAUUGGUUCUAAGAUAUGUACACAUCGCCCGUCGCUCUCGUUUUUCAUUGAUGAGAUAAGUCGUAACAAAGUGGUCGUACCGGAAGGUGUGGCUGGAUUGAU